Molecule: long non-coding RNA, 1255 nt
Filed under: Serinus canaria (Common canary)
Lineage: Eukaryota; Metazoa; Chordata; Aves; Passeriformes; Fringillidae
Description: lncRNA (ENSSCAG00000005301.1)
Source: RNAcentral
AUGUCUGCUGGAAGCUUUGCAUCCAUCAGAUUUUAUCCAUCUCAGCUCAGAACAGCCAGCCCCCUGCCAUCUUCUCUGGGCUUUCUUCUAAUAAAAAUAUUUAUCUACCCAAGCAAGAAGGCCAGCUCUGGCAGCAGAGAGGUGUGGCCACGUACUUCACUCUGCUGUCAGCUUCUCCUGAGGUGCUCAGAGCUUCAGUGCCAGCUCUCCUGGGAAGCUGUUUGCCAUUUGCUAUGUGAAAACCUGGAUCCACCAGGAAGGGCUGAAGGAGAUAAAUGCCUGACAAGAGGAACUAUUAAAGCUUAAAAGAAAGGCCAAGCUCUGUGAAAUCCAGCACGGAACCAGGAUCUGCAACCUUGGAUUAGACCAGUGACCAUAAAACCGACAUGUGACUUAUUGCAGUGCUUUCACAAACUGGGAUACUGGAGCCUGCAUGGUUUGCUUUGCUUUUGCUUGGAAGAUGAUUUAAUGUUUUUCAUUGGAGAACAAAGUUUUGCAACUAUUCAGACAUGGAAGAAUAUGAAGGAGCAGAUAUUUUGGAAACCAGCUCUCUCUCUAAUGGUCCUUGGUGCAAGGUGAGAACUUUUAUUCCCCCUCCUCCCGCAGUCACAGAAAAUAUUAUCUUUCUGCUGUUUACAAGUGACUUCAGUAAAUCAUUGCCCUUGGACCAGACUGAAUGCAACCUCUGCAUCAGCUUUGUAAACAACUUCACAAAUUCCUUAGAGCAAGGCUGUGCUAAACAUUAGGCACAGAAAUGAAAUGGUGAUGUGUGUGGUUAAGCGUCUGUCAUCCACCUCACUGGAAGUUUCAAAUAUCUGAGUAACUGUAGGUUUCUGUGCUGUGGAAACGACCAAAAUAGUUUUUCUCGGUGCUUGGAGAAUCCAGAAACUCCAUAUAAUUUUAGCAAAGCCACUGCUUUAAGAUUUGCAGGUCAAAUACGUUGAGUAAAACCAUGGCAAGCACAGGGUAGGAUAAGCAUUAACUUGGGCAAACAAAUUGACAAUUUAACUGCGUGGAACUCCGUGUCCAGCAGCAAUUCCUCCUGCUCCCCCAGAGCUCAGUGCAGAGCAGUCUCAGCCUCAGGAAUGGGUCAGCUGUGCUUCUUGUCAAAUCCCAGCAGUGACGUUCAGAGAUUGUUUUCUGUUUGCUUGUGUUUGUAAUCUGAUCUCAUGUAAUAACAUUGUCCUCGGCUCACAUAUAACCACGGGGGUAGCUCUGACAUCCUGCCUGAAAAAAAACACCUUGUUGAUUCCUG